AUUAAUCUUUCUAUGCUCAGAUGUUUUACUCACAAAGGUCAUCUAUUGUUUGUUUAAACUCACUUUUCUAAUUUUAGAAACACAAGAAAUAAGAAGACCAUUUGAGAAGAGCAGAUAGUUGCCUUAAGAAAAUCUCCAUUCAUCUGUACUCUGGGAUUUGGACUCAAAUCGUAAUUAUACAGUCUUCUGUGAUGUCUUAUGAGAUGCCUGUGUGAACUAACCAAGCCAUUCUGACAUAAGCACAAAGGGGUACAAGGAGUCAACUCCUCAUAGCGUGAUCCUUGACAAACAACAGAUGUGAGAAAAUGGCUAAAUACAGCCUUCUUCCAUCCUGAAGGUGAGCAAAUUAGAAUUCAUUUUAUGCACUUCAGAGGGUCCCCAGCAAAACAGAGUCCCAGAUAC
RNAcentral lists this long non-coding RNA (402 nucleotides) under Bos indicus x Bos taurus (hybrid cattle). Its description in RNAcentral is "lncRNA (ENSBIXG00005030569.1)". The record is from RNAcentral. Lineage: Eukaryota; Metazoa; Chordata; Mammalia; Artiodactyla; Bovidae.